This 312-nucleotide long non-coding RNA is filed under the name Triticum aestivum (bread wheat). RNAcentral's name for it is "long non-coding RNA (TAES_LNC012507)". Lineage: Eukaryota; Viridiplantae; Streptophyta; Magnoliopsida; Poales; Poaceae. The record is from RNAcentral.
ACUUGAGAUGCAGAACUUGAGGAAGGAGGAUCGGUACCACCAUCUUUCCCUCCAUCACCGCACUCAUCGUCCUCCUCCCCUCCCUCCGGCAAUGCCAGAUCUAGGACGCCCACGGUCGCGACCGGCUGGGAACAGAAGCUGUUCAUCGGCAUGGCAAGAUGAAGAUUUGAGGAUUUGCGGUAGAAGACAAGGAAAGAAAAAGAGGAUCUUGUGAGAGGAGAAACCUGAACAAGAGAUCCGUGAAUGACUCCCCGCCGAGAUUCAUUGGUGAUUUGUGAAGAAAUAUCGAGAUCCAGGCGCGGUGAUGAGGAG